CAUUCGAUAGGGCAGGCUAGAGUUCGGCAGGGGAGAUUGGAAUUCCUGGUGUAGCGGUGAAAUGCGCAGAUAUCAGGAGGAACACCGGUGGCGAAGGCGGAUCUCUGGGCCGAUACUGACGCUGAGGAGCGAAAGCCUUGUGGGGAGCGAACAGGAUUAGAUACCCUGGUAGUCCACGCCGUAAACGUUGGGCACUAGGUGUGGGCGGCAUUCCACGUACGUCCGUGCCGCAGCUAACGCAUUAAGUGCCCCGCCUGGGGAGUACCAAGGCUAAAACUCAAAGGAAUUGACGGGGGCCCGCACAAGCGGCGGAACAUGUGGCUUAAUUCGACGCAACGCGAAGAACCUUACCAAGGCUUGACAUACACCGGAAAGCCGUAGAGAUACCGCCCCCCUUUGUGGUCGGUGUACAGGUGGU
RNAcentral lists this ribosomal RNA (418 nucleotides) under uncultured Streptomyces sp. RNAcentral describes it as "bacterial SSU rRNA". It matches the Rfam family "Bacterial small subunit ribosomal RNA", at positions 624 to 1042 of the family's 1533-position model. The record is from RNAcentral. Lineage: Bacteria; Bacillati; Actinomycetota; Actinomycetes; Kitasatosporales; Streptomycetaceae.